GGAAAUGUGCCUGAGCUUAAAGGGUAACUUUGAUAGAGUUAAUAACAGAGAUUUGAACCCUCUCAUUUCCU
Anolis carolinensis (green anole) is the source of this 71-nucleotide non-coding RNA. NCBI's taxonomy places the organism in Eukaryota, Metazoa, Chordata, Lepidosauria, Squamata, Anolidae. The record is from Ensembl.